UACAGAGGUCUCAAGCGUUGCUCGGAAUCACUGGGCGUAAAGCGCACGUAGGCGGAUCUUUAAGUCAGGGGUGAAAUCCCAAGGCUCAACCUUGGAACUGCCUUUGAUACUGGGGAUCUCGAGUCCGGAAGAGGUUGGUGGAACUGCGAGUGUAGAGGUGAAAUUCGUAGAUAUUCGCAAGAACACCAGUGGCGAAGGCGGCCAACUGGUCCGGUACUGACGCUGAGGUGCGAAAGCGUGGGGAGCAAACAGG
Molecule: ribosomal RNA, 253 nt
Filed under: uncultured bacterium
Lineage: Bacteria
Description: partial 16S ribosomal RNA
Rfam family: Bacterial small subunit ribosomal RNA
Source: RNAcentral